Molecule: long non-coding RNA, 421 nt
Organism: Aricia agestis (brown argus)
Lineage: Eukaryota; Metazoa; Arthropoda; Insecta; Lepidoptera; Lycaenidae
Exons: 2
Source: RefSeq, a predicted model, not a curated record
AGAAGUAACGGACAGACACAUAUUCGCAUAGGUACUUAUUAUAUUAAGUUUAAAUACUGAACCAUCCUGUAGCGUAUGUUGUUAUGGUUUAGUAAUAAUUUUAUCUACAGUCUAUAACUGUAUGUAUGUAUUAUUUGCUGUUCACAAGAAUUCCCACAUUUGAUCACAAGUGUUUCUUUGUUAAAAUGUUUAACAAAGGCGGUGUAGUGUUAAUAUUCGCUAUCAUCAUUUUCAUUGGAUGUACAGAGGUACACAGCGCGACCAUAGACCAGAACACCUGUAGGAUGGACUGCGACGCGGUGUGCCAAGGGAAAGGUGUCGCCUCGGGGAAGUGUGUUCAUGGGUCAUGCCACUGCGCAGGAGGUGGGUCUGAACCGUGAAAUAUAAAUUAAAUUGCGUUCAUAAAUAAAUGUGUGUUAUA